Molecule: long non-coding RNA, 77 nt
Organism: Ipomoea nil (Japanese morning glory)
Lineage: Eukaryota; Viridiplantae; Streptophyta; Magnoliopsida; Solanales; Convolvulaceae
Exons: 2
Source: RefSeq, a predicted model, not a curated record
AAGCUUUCAAUUUCAUGGUCUCGGGUUCUGCCAAAAGGAAGACAUGGAAACAUUAACUGGAAAGGGAUCAACUACUA